GCCCAGGUGGAGAAAUUGGUAGACUUACUGCCUUGAGGUGGCAGCGCCGUAAGGCAUGCAGGUUCGAGUCCUGUCCUGGGCA
RNAcentral lists this transfer RNA (82 nucleotides) under bacterium. Its description in RNAcentral is "tRNA-Leu". It matches the Rfam family "tRNA". Rfam says of the family: Transfer RNA (tRNA) molecules are approximately 80 nucleotides in length. Their secondary structure includes four short double-helical elements and three loops (D, anti-codon, and T loops). The record is from RNAcentral.